Molecule: ribosomal RNA, 1126 nt
Filed under: Rhodococcus erythropolis
Lineage: Bacteria; Bacillati; Actinomycetota; Actinomycetes; Mycobacteriales; Nocardiaceae
Description: bacterial SSU rRNA
Rfam family: Bacterial small subunit ribosomal RNA
Source: RNAcentral
GCAAGAUUACACAUGCAGUCGAGCGGUAAGGCCUUUCGGGGUACACGAGCGGCGAACGGGUGAGUAACACGUGGGUGAUCUGCCCUGCACUUCGGGAUAAGCCUGGGAAACUGGGUCUAAUACCGGAUAUGACCUCCUGUUGCAUGACUUGGGGUGGAAAGAUUUAUCGGUGCAGGAUGGGCCCGCGGCCUAUCAGCUUGUUGGUGGGGUAAUGGCCUACCAAGGCGACGACGGGUAGCCGACCUGAGAGGGUGACCGGCCACACUGGGACUGAGACACGGCCCAGACUCCUACGGGAGGCAGCAGUGGGGAAUAUUGCACAAUGGGCGAAAGCCUGAUGCAGCGACGCCGCGUGAGGGAUGACGGCCUUCGGGUUGUAAACCUCUUUCAGCAGGGACGAAGCGCAAGUGACGGUACCUGCAGAAGAAGCACCGGCUAACUACGUGCCAGCAGCCGCGGUAAUACGUAGGGUGCAAGCGUUGUCCGGAAUUACUGGGCGUAAAGAGUUCGUAGGCGGUUUGUCGCGUCGUUUGUGAAAACCAGCAGCUCAACUGCUGGCUUGCAGGCGAUACGGGCAGACUUGAGUACUGCAGGGGAGACUGGAAUUCCUGGUGUAGCGGUGAAAUGCGCAGAUAUCAGGAGGAACACCGGUGGCGAAGGCGGGUCUCUGGGCAGUAACUGACGCUGAGGAACGAAAGCGUGGGUAGCGAACAGGAUUAGAUACCCUGGUAGUCCACGCCGUAAACGGUGGGCGCUAGGUGUGGGUUCCUUCCACGGAAUCCGUGCCGUAGCUAACGCAUUAAGCGCCCCGCCUGGGGAGUACGGCCGCAAGGCUAAAACUCAAAGGAAUUGACGGGGGCCCGCACAAGCGGCGGAGCAUGUGGAUUAAUUCGAUGCAACGCGAAGAACCUUACCUGGGUUUGACAUAUACCGGAAAGCUGCAGAGAUGUGGCCCCCCUUGUGGUCGGUAUACAGGUGGUGCAUGGCUGUCCUCAGCUCUUGUCGUGAGAUGUUGGGUUAAGUCCCGCACCAACGCAACCCCUAUCUUAUGUUGCCCCCCCUUUUGUGGGGAUCUUAAAAAACUGCCGGGUCACUCCGAAGAAGGGGGGGACAACUCAAUUCUCUA